GUAGUAUUUGCAUUCCAGAAUUUAGGUUGCUCUUUUGUGUACCCUACUUAGGUUAAUGUAUCUAAACAGUGUGAUUGGACAAAAAAUACAGUAUCAACUGAACAUACUUUCCCAAACUGAGGGAUGAAUCAGGUGUAGAAAAAUAUGAAAUAAUUUUACAUACAGAUGAAAAUGAAUUUUUGAGAAUUUUUUAGAUUUUGUAUUCACUGCACCAUAAAAGACCUAAAAGUACUAGUGGCCUUAGGUUUUUAAAAAUAGCAAAAAAAGUAAACGGUCAUGAUACAUAUUCAAAUUCAUUUCUGAAUAGUAAAAUGAAAGUACUUCAGUUAACUGUGAAUGUAGAAUUUUUUGCAGUGUUAGAAAGUGGUGAAAAUUCUAAAAAGGCUAUCAUUAUCCCUUAUGGGCUAGGAAAUACUACCGUGCCACCUUUAAGA
This 434-nucleotide long non-coding RNA is filed under the name Mytilus galloprovincialis (Mediterranean mussel). Lineage: Eukaryota; Metazoa; Mollusca; Bivalvia; Mytilida; Mytilidae. The record is from RNAcentral.